Molecule: ribosomal RNA, 252 nt
Filed under: uncultured bacterium
Lineage: Bacteria
Description: partial 16S ribosomal RNA
Rfam family: Archaeal small subunit ribosomal RNA
Source: RNAcentral
UACCAGCACCCCGAGUGGUCGGGACGAUUAUUGGGCCUAAAGCAUCCGUAGCCGGUUCUACAAGUCUUCCGUUAAAUCCACCUGCUUAACAGAUGGGCUGCGGAGGAUACUAUGGAGCUAGGAGGCGGGAGAGGCAAGCGGUACUUAGUGGGUAGGGGUAAAAUCCGUUGAUCCAUUGAAGACCACCAGUGGCGAAGGCGGCUUGCCAGAACGCACUCGACGGUGAGGGAUGAAAGCUGGGGAGCAAACCGG